Molecule: transfer RNA, 77 nt
Filed under: Meiothermus ruber
Lineage: Bacteria; Thermotogati; Deinococcota; Deinococci; Thermales; Thermaceae
Also listed under: 17 other names
Description: tRNA-Met
Rfam family: tRNA
About the family: Transfer RNA (tRNA) molecules are approximately 80 nucleotides in length. Their secondary structure includes four short double-helical elements and three loops (D, anti-codon, and T loops). Further hydrogen bonds mediate the characteristic L-shaped molecular structure. tRNAs have two regions of fundamental functional importance: the anti-codon, which is responsible for specific mRNA codon recognition, and the 3' end, to which the tRNAs corresponding amino acid is attached (by aminoacyl-tRNA synthetases). tRNAs cope with the degeneracy of the genetic code in two manners: having more than one tRNA (with a specific anti-codon) for a particular amino acid; and 'wobble' base-pairing, i.e. permitting non-standard base-pairing at the 3rd anti-codon position.
Source: RNAcentral
CGCAGGGUGGAGCAGUCUGGUAGCUCGUCGGGCUCAUAACCCGAAGGUCACAGGUUCAAAUCCUGUCCCUGCAACCA